UGGGACAAAAGCAUCGGCCGAGCUGGUCAAUGAUGCAGAUUAAUCUUGGUUGUAGUAUGCGUGCGUUUCGGGAAAAAGGAAAGCUUAGAUCAUAUACUUGUGUGCGUCGGAAUCUACCCUGCCAGUAAUGCAUGUUGUCUUUAUUGGAGGCCAUCCAAGCCGAUGCUCAGAUCGUGCAGCCACGCUCGCUCAAGAUGGGAGAGGCCUCUCUAAUAAUAGGCAUGAAUGAAACAAAAAGAAUGUGGCCUCUCUAAUAAUAGUAGUAAGAGCAAAAUAAACCCAUAUUCUUCCUGUAAUGUGGUUUAUCUAAUAAAAGUACGAAGAGCAAAAUAAAUCUAUGUUCUACCAGCA
This 351-nucleotide long non-coding RNA is filed under the name Hordeum vulgare. RNAcentral describes it as "long non-coding RNA (HVUL_LNC009830)". The record is from RNAcentral. Lineage: Eukaryota; Viridiplantae; Streptophyta; Magnoliopsida; Poales; Poaceae.